Molecule: ribosomal RNA, 405 nt
Filed under: uncultured bacterium
Lineage: Bacteria
Description: partial 16S ribosomal RNA
Rfam family: Bacterial small subunit ribosomal RNA
Source: RNAcentral
GACGAACGCUGGCGGCGUGCUUCACACAUGCAAGUCGAGCGGAGCGGCGAACGGGUGAGUAACGCGUGAGUAACUGACCCCCUCUCUGGGAUAACAGUUGGCAACGGCUGCUAAUACCGGAUAGUGGGGGAUGGCUCGCUUCCAAUCAGCUUGUGGGUUGGGUAGUGGCCUUCCAAGGCGACGACGGUUAGCCGGCCUGAGAGGGCGACCGGCCACAAUGGGCUGAGAUACGGCCCAAAAGCCUACGGGAGGCAGUAGUGGGGAAUAUUUCACAAUGGGGGAAACCCUGAUGCAGCAACGCCGCGUGCGGGAUGACGGCCUUCGGGUUGUAAACCGCUUUCAGCCAUGACGCGGUAGUGGCAGAAGAAGCACCGGCUAACUACGUGCCAGCAGCCGCGGUAAUUC